Molecule: long non-coding RNA, 1164 nt
Filed under: Salvator merianae (Argentine black and white tegu)
Lineage: Eukaryota; Metazoa; Chordata; Lepidosauria; Squamata; Teiidae
Description: lncRNA (ENSSMRG00000006046.1)
Source: RNAcentral
CACACUUCAGCUGCUUUAUAUUCACUUUUUUUUUUUUUUAAUUGGGUGCAGAUGCAGCCAGGGAGAAGGUAAUUGAUGCACACAGCCUCAGGCUCCCGGGAAGAAAGCCUGGGUAUAAAUACCAUAGAUAAAUAAANACAGACAUCAUUUUGGUAGUUCUUUAAGCCUGACAACCUGGGAAAUCUCUGCUCUGUCAGCCCGGGUUCCCAUCCUUCCUUUUUACCUUUCUCCUUGGCCAAACAGCAAAAGGUUCCGAGGAGCAGGAGCAGCAGCGUCAAGGUUGAAAAUCUGUCCAUUUCAGCAGCCACAAGCGUGAAGUAUCCCAGUGCGCACCUUUUAUAAUGAAGAAAUUUCCUCCAGAUAGUCCCCUGGGUCACUGCACCGAAACGCUUUCCCGUAAGAAUACUUUCUUGUUCUUUCCCUUUUUUUUUUUUUGUAGAAAAAGCAAACAAUGAGAGAGCCUAAUGAAGCGUAAUGANGAGAAACAUGACUCCCAUAUUCUUGAUAUUGGCGGCUGAACCAGCUGAGCAGGUUGACUGUGCCAAUGCUAACAAGAAGACUUUAAUGAGAUUCAUAUCCAGGACCUGUUUCCUUUUCAAUGCAUUGUUAUUAUUAUUGAUUUUUCUUCUUAGCGUAAUAUAAAACCCCCUUUCAUGGGAGAGUGUGUCUGCCCAGACACGAUAAUAGAGUGAUUAUAAUCCUUGUAUUUCUUCUGUGUAUUUCUUUCUGUUGAAUCUGUUACCACUUCCGUGAAGAUUGCGCUAUGCUUUAGCACAUCAGGGAGAGGUGACNGGGGACAGAAACCAGGUGUCUUUCAUUUGUUCAGUUAGGAGAUUUGUGAGUUGCUCUCCACAGGUGGCAAGGCUGAGAGAAUCAGAAAGAGGAGAAGGUGGUGAGAAGUGGAGACGAUGGAUGGACAGAACCAAACUAAUUCCUAGAAUUUUCUUGGAAGAGGGAGAAGAUAUUGUCAAAAGGCAGCCCAAAAUGAUGAUCANAAGUCCAGAUAGUCACCGGGAGUAGAAGGCAACUCAGUGGAAUCUCAGAGCACAAUAACAAAACAAAGAAGUCCUUACUGGUCUUGUCUGAUUUUGGAAACUAAGCAGGAUCAGGCCGUGGUAGUACUUGGGUGGGAGGCUAUCUGGGAAUACUAGAGCUAUGGCCUGG